GAUGAACGCUGGCGGCGUGCCUAAUACAUGCAAGUCGAGCGAACGGACGAGAAGCUUGCUUUUCUGAUGUUAGCGGCGGACGGGUGAGUAACACGUGGAUAACCUACCUAUAAGACUGGGAUAACUUCGGGAAACCGGAGCUAAUACCGGAUAAUAUUUUGAACCGCAUGGUUCAAAAGUGAAAGACGGUCUUGCUGUCACUUAUAGAUGGAUCCGCGCUGCAUUAGCUAGUUGGUAAGGUAACGGCUUACCAAGGCAACGAUGCAUAGCCGACCUGAGAGAGUGAUCGCCGACACGGGAACUGAGACACGGUCCAGACUCCUACGGGAGGCAGCAGUAGGGAAUCUUCCGCAAUGGGCGAAAGCCUGACGGAGCAACGCCGCGUGAGUGAUGAAGGUCUUCGGAUCGUAAAACUCUGUUAUUAGGGAAGAACAUAUGUGUAAGUAACCGUGCACAUCUUGACGGUACCUAAUCAGAAAGCCACGGCUAACUACGUG
RNAcentral lists this ribosomal RNA (497 nucleotides) under uncultured bacterium. Its description in RNAcentral is "partial 16S ribosomal RNA". It matches the Rfam family "Bacterial small subunit ribosomal RNA", at positions 28 to 507 of the family's 1533-position model. The record is from RNAcentral.